UNCAUGAACACAGGUGCUAGAUAGCUU
RNAcentral lists this non-coding RNA (27 nucleotides) under Mus musculus (house mouse). The record is from RNAcentral. Lineage: Eukaryota; Metazoa; Chordata; Mammalia; Rodentia; Muridae.